Molecule: non-coding RNA, 57 nt
Filed under: marine eukaryotic metagenome
Source: RNAcentral
UAACGAGGAAGGAUUUGACUGAUUGCAAACCUCGAAAAAAAAUUGCUAAAGCAGAUU